CAUGCAAGUCAAGGAGAACGGGGAUCUUCGGAAUCCCUAGUAAACUGGCGAACGGGUGAGUAACACGUAGGUAACUUACCCAUAGGACUGGGAUAACCCUACUAACGUGGGGCUAAUACCGGAUAAUAUUUCUUUAUCGCAUGAUGGAGGAAUCAAAGCUGCCUUUGGGUAGCACCUAAGGAUGGACCUGCGCCCCAUUAGCUAGUUGGUAGGGUAAUGGCCUACCAAGGCGACGAUGGGUAGCCGGCCUGAGAGGGUGACCGGCCACACUGGGACUGAGAUACGGCCCAGACUCCUACGGGAGGCAGCAGUGAGGAAUAUUGCGCAAUGGGCGAAAGCUUGACGCAGCAACGCCGCGUGGAUGAUGAAGCUCUAAGGAGUGUAAAGUCCUGUUAGAAGGGAAGAACAACUUUCAGUCGAAUAGAAUGAAGGUU
This 434-nucleotide ribosomal RNA is filed under the name uncultured bacterium. RNAcentral describes it as "bacterial SSU rRNA". It matches the Rfam family "Bacterial small subunit ribosomal RNA", at positions 54 to 477 of the family's 1533-position model. The record is from RNAcentral.